ACCUGGGUGGCUCAGUCGGUUAAGUGUCUGACUUCAGCUCAGGUCAUGAUCUUGCAGCUCGUGGGUUCAAGCCCCACAUCAGGCU
RNAcentral lists this transfer RNA (85 nucleotides) under Felis catus (domestic cat). It matches the Rfam family "tRNA". From Rfam's summary of the family: Transfer RNA (tRNA) molecules are approximately 80 nucleotides in length. The record is from Rfam by way of RNAcentral. Lineage: Eukaryota; Metazoa; Chordata; Mammalia; Carnivora; Felidae. RNAcentral also lists the same sequence under 2 other names.